CGAGUUAUCUGAACCUUCGGGGAACGAUAACGGCGUCGAGCGGCGGACGGGUGAGUAAUGCCUAGGAAAUUGCCCUGAUGUGGGGGAUAACCAUUGGAAACGAUGGCUAAUACCGCAUGAUGCCUACGGGCCAAAGAGGGGGACCUUCGGGCCUCUCGCGUCAGGAUAUGCCUAGGUGGGAUUAGCUAGUUGGUGAGGUAAGGGCUCACCAAGGCGACGAUCCCUAGCUGGUCUGAGAGGAUGAUCAGCCACACUGGAACUGAGACACGGUCCAGACUCCUACGGGAGGCAGCAGUGGGGAAUAUUGCACAAUGGGCGCAAGCCUGAUGCAGCCAUGCCGCGUGUGUGAAGAAGGCCUUCGGGUUGUAAAGCACUUUCAGUCGUGAGGAAGGUAGUGUAGUUAAUAGCUGCAUUAUUUGACGUUAGCGACAGAAGAAGCACCGGCUAACUCCGUGCCAGCAGCCGCGGUAAUACGGAGGGUGCGAGCGUUAAUCGGAAUUACUGGGCGUAAAGCGCAUGCAGGUGGUUUGUUAAGUCAGAUGUGAAAGCCCGGGGCUCAACCUCGGAAUUGCAUUUGAAACUGGCAGACUAGAGUACUGUAGAGGGGGGUAGAAUUUCAGGUGUAGCGGUGAAAUGCGUAGAGAUCUGAAGGAAUACCGGUGGCGAAGGCGGCCCCCUGGACAGAUACUGACACUCAGAUGCGAAAGCGUGGGGAGCAAACAGGAUUAGAUACCCUGGUAGUCCACGCCGUAAACGAUGUCUACUUGGAGGUUGUGGCCUUGAGCCGUGGCUUUCGGAGCUAACGCGUUAAGUAGACCGCCUGGGGAGUACGGUCGCAAGAUUAAAACUCAAAUGAAUUGACGGGGGCCCGCACAAGCGGUGGAGCAUGUGGUUUAAUUCGAUGCAACGCGAAGAACCUUACCUACUCUUGACAUCCAGAGAACUUUCCAGAGAUGGAUUGGUGCCUUCGGGAACUCUGAGACAGGUGCUGCAUGGCUGUCGUCAGCUCGUGUUGUGAAAUGUUGGGUUAAGUCCCGCAACGAGCGCAACCCUUAUCCUUGUUUGCCAGCGAGUAAUGUCGGGAACUCCAGGGAGACUGCCGGUGAUAAACCGGAGGAAGGUGGGGACGACGUCAAGUCAUCAUGGCCCUUACGAGUAGGGCUACACACGUGCUACAAUGGCGCAUACAGAGGGCGGCCAACUUGCGAAAGUGAGCGAAUCCCAAAAAGUGCGUCGUAGUCCGGAUUGGAGUCUGCAACUCGACUCCAUGAAGUCGGAAUCGCUAGUAAUCGUGGAUCAGAAUGCCACGGUGAAUACGUUCCCGGGCCUUGUACACACCGCCCGUCACACCAUGGGAGUGGGCUGCAAAAGAAGUAGGUAGUUUAACCUUCGGGGGGACG
This 1400-nucleotide ribosomal RNA is filed under the name Vibrio parahaemolyticus. Its description in RNAcentral is "bacterial SSU rRNA". It matches the Rfam family "Bacterial small subunit ribosomal RNA". The record is from RNAcentral. Lineage: Bacteria; Pseudomonadati; Pseudomonadota; Gammaproteobacteria; Vibrionales; Vibrionaceae.